RNAcentral lists this ribosomal RNA (459 nucleotides) under uncultured bacterium. RNAcentral describes it as "partial 16S ribosomal RNA". It matches the Rfam family "Bacterial small subunit ribosomal RNA", at positions 338 to 795 of the family's 1533-position model. The record is from RNAcentral.
CCUACGGGAGGCAGCAGUGAGGAAUAUUGGUCAAUGGUCGGGAGACUGAACCAGCCAAGCCGCGUGAGGGAUGAAGGUACAGAGUAUCGUAAACCUCUUUUGUCAGGGAACAAAGGCGGGGACGUGUCCCCGGAUGAGUGUACCUGAAGAAAAAGCAUCGGCUAACUCCGUGCCAGCAGCCGCGGUAAUACGGAGGAUGCGAGCGUUAUCCGGAUUUAUUGGGGUUAAAGGGUGCGCAGGCGGUCUGUUAAGUCAGCGGUCAAAGCCCGGGGGUCAACCCCGGCCCGCCGUUGAAACUGGCAGUCGCGAGUUGGAGAGAAGUAUGCGGAAUGCGCGGUGUAGCGGUGAAAUGCAUAGAUAUCGCGCAGAACUCCGAUUGCGAAGGCAGCAUGCCGGCUCCACACUGACGCUGAGGCACGAAAGCGUGGGUAUCGAACAGGAUUAGAUACCCUAGUAGUC